Molecule: long non-coding RNA, 1792 nt
Organism: Raphanus sativus (radish)
Lineage: Eukaryota; Viridiplantae; Streptophyta; Magnoliopsida; Brassicales; Brassicaceae
Exons: 2
Source: RefSeq, a predicted model, not a curated record
GUCAUCACGAUCGGAGAAACCACAGUUGUGUCAUCGCAGAAGAAGCUCGAGGAUUUGCAUGUCGGAUGCUCUGAAGUCUGUUCCGGAUUUGUUUGUCAAUAAGCAAGAAGAUCGCUUCCGGGGACCGGAAGAUUUGCUGAUGGUAUCUUUUAUUGCGCUCUGUCCAAAUCCAGUAGAUCGCUGCUUGAGUUGCUAGGAGCGUUAACCGGAGAGUGUCUCGAUUCACACGAAGUGUGAGCAGUUGAUGUAGUAUGCUUUCCCAAGUAAGCGAAGGCAUGAGAUCACAACGAGCCGCGAUUAGCCUCCACACAGAAGCGCUAUAACUACACUCAAAGAAAAGGACAACGAUCCAGCAAUACCAACCAAGUCAAGAAACUGUGUCGCGGUAUCCCAUAAGCACACCAGACAAUCGUAGCCCAAGGAACAGUCGGUUGGGGGCCUUUCAAGAUUGUGUAUAUUUCUCCAGUGCUAUAUCUCUGCCUCAGAUUACCAUCUACCACCCAUUCAUAGUAAUCCUCUGAAUCCGUCAGUGUUACAGUUGUCAAGUGUACCUGAAGAGUCAACUGGUAUUGUUAAUUGGAUAAGAACAUGAAAAGCAACAGAAGAAGUAGACAGAGCUCUGACCAGGUUGGGGAGGAGUAGAAACCUGCGGCGGUGAUGGUGAUGGAAGUGUGCUAGUGGCGGAUUCGUUGUAAAAUAGGUAAGGCUCGUAUCUUGAAUUACAGCUCGGCAAAAGAAUUCUUGCUCCAGUAUUUUCAGUGGGUAACUGACUGAUGGACGUUUCCAAGCAACGGGAACAGUCUUGUGUUGUAAGAUCAGGGGUGCACUGAACUAGUCCGUAUACUCUCUGAAACGCAGUAAAGUUGUCUUGUCUCGUACCAAAUUUUCUGGAACUAUUGGCAGCUUCGGCUGCGGCUUGGUUCAUCAAGGACAAAACAAAUUCUCGGAAGCUCUCUUGUUGGUUAGGUGGAAUAAUUCUCAGGCUGGACAAGAUAUAUCCUUCUGUCGUCUGAACGGUCGAGAGUAUAUCCCGGUUGGAGUAUCUUAACAUACAGUUAUCAUAGUAGAGUACGGCCUCACUCUGAUUUGGGCACACCGUUAAGGAUUCGUUGACGGAAAAGGAGACGCAGUCACGGCAAGCUUCAAGCGAGAGACCUCCAAGACAAAGGAAAAGUCCGGUGACCUUGUCUGGGUCUUGACCCACUGUUUCGUUUUCGAAUCCUGUGGAAUGUGAAGCAUUGCGGGAAGAGAGGAAAGACAAAAGAGUUGUGAGAUUGUUAUAGUAAGUGCUGUUCCUUGAAUAAGUUGUUGUAUUCGGACAAACAGAGUAUAAGAGGGAAGGAUUCUGAGCAGAAGCUCUAAAGCUUGAGAGGAAGAAAGAAAGGAAAAGGAUGAAGAAAGAGGCGCAAGAAGACAUUGUUCGGCUUCUAAGAUUUGGGUUUCUCAUAUCAUGGAGCUCCCAUUUAUACGUAUUUAUUUUUCUUCUGAUAAAUAACUUGAGAUAGAGGAUGGUUGUGGCAGACGACGAUACGUCAAUUCAAAGUAAACGACGGUCUUUGUUUCUAUUUCUAGGACCGUCACAUCUUAACCAUAAACAAAAUGAGUUGGAAAUAAUAAUUAGGGAAGUUAACUCAAAAAAUAUGGAUUUUAGAACUAUAAACCAUAUAAAACUUUUUUUUAUUAUUACAUUUUUUUAAUACCUAGCGUGACCUUUUGUUACGUUGUAAAAAAAUUGUAAUUACAAAAAUGCCAUUACUUUUUAAUGCUACGUAGGCAAAAAAUUCGACACCAU